This 10047-nucleotide long non-coding RNA is filed under the name Vitis vinifera (wine grape). RNAcentral's name for it is "long non-coding RNA (VVIN_LNC006406)". Lineage: Eukaryota; Viridiplantae; Streptophyta; Magnoliopsida; Vitales; Vitaceae. The record is from RNAcentral.
UGACAUGUCUGUUCGAAACUCAACCCAUCUAAUGGGAUGGGCUUAUUCAGAGCUCAUAACUUUGGGUGAUAGGUUCUAUGAUCGAUAUGCCCAAUCUAUAGUCAGCCUUGAAGAAUCUAGUGUUGCAGUGGCGACUUCCUCUGCCUCAACGCCGGAAAACUCUUUUGAAACAAAUGCCAGUGAUAGCAGACCAAUGAAUGUGAGCUACAGGAUAAGCUUAACACUGGAACCUGGUGUUAAAUUCGGUGAUAUGAUCAUCAGUCCCUCUAACUUUUCAGGUAUAUACACACCAGUAGAAAUUUCUGCUGAAGGGAUUUAUGAUGCCAAAACAGGAUUCCUGUGUAUGGUGGGCUGUAGAAAGCUGAGCUCACCAGUAAAAACAUCAAGCAAUGACUCCAUGGACUGUGAGAUUCUUGUGAAUCUUCAGUUUCCUCAAUUAAAUUCAAAGAAUAGAGGUUAUAUCAAGGGAAGCAUUCAAAGCACAAGAGAAAAAUCUGAUCCUCUUUACUUUGAACAUCUGGACUUGUCUGCAAACUCUUUCUUUGGAGCAAGACAAUCGAUUUGGAGGAUGGAUUUUGAGAUCAUCAUGGUUCUGAUAUCUCACACACUUUCAUGUGUCUUUGUGGGACUGCAACUCUUUUAUGUGAAAAAGCACUCUGAAGUGCUUCCUUCCAUCUCACUAGUCAUGCUUGUGGUUCUUACUUUGGGUUAUAUGAUCCCUCUUGUACUGAACUUUGAAGCCUUAUUUUUGGGGAGCCAUGAUCAGCGAAAUGCCUUGCUUGAGAGCGGUGGAUGGAUUAAAGCGAAUGAGGUGAUCGUGCGGAUAGUUACAAUGGUGGUUUUUCUGCUGCAAUUCCGUCUUCUCCAGCUCACAUGGGCAGCAAAAUUGAAAGAGGGUCACCAAAAGGGCUCAUGGGCUGCAGAGAAGAAGGUUCUCUAUCUGGCUUUACCAUCAUAUGUAGCUGGCUGCCUAAUUGCCUUGUUUUUCAACAGGGGAAAGAAUGAAUAUGGUGCUGCAGUUCAAUCCUAUUCCCUUCCAGAUUACCAGCAACAUUCCCUUUGGGGGGACUUGAGAUCUUAUGCUGGCUUGGUCCUAGACGGUUUCCUCUUCCCUCAAAUCCUGCUCAACAUGUUCACAAGCUCAACAGUGAAAGCUCUUUCCCAUUCAUUUUAUGUUGGAACCACUUUUGUUCGACUGCUGCCACACACAUAUGAUCUUUACAGGGCUCAUAACAAUGCUAUCAGCUUUAAUGGCUCAUACAUUUAUGCGAAUCCUGGUGCAGACUUUUACUCCACUGCUUGGGAUGUCAUCAUCCCUUGUGGGGGUCUGCUGUUUUCUGCUAUCAUUUUCUUGCAGCAGCGGUUUGGUGGUCGUUGCAUCCUCCCCAAAAGAUUCAGGGAGUUGGAAGCAUAUGAGAAGAUACCAGUGGUUAGCACUUAGCAGUGAGAGUAAUAGCUAAAGGAAUCUAGAACUUCAACUCUGUGUUAAAUUCUGUUGUUUUAUCACUGGAAUUGAGUGAUUCUGUGUUUCGUUUCUUCUGUAUUUUCUGCUUGUAAGAGAAGUUGUGUUUUCUGAACCAUCCUUUGAAUGCUCCCUUUGUUCUGUGACUUUAUCCCUCUCAUUUACUCUCCAUUCUCUAUAUGAUUAUCUUGAUUAUUCGCUUCAGCUUCUACAACUGUCUACCUUAAAGACCAAUCUAACUGCUGGUUCUUAACUUUCUGGACACCCCAAUAGUACAUUUAUGUCCAAGUUUUGUAUGCAAAAUCAUUCUCAACCUCGCCCUCUAGGUCAAUCGAAUUUAAGGCUUUUAUCAAUCUCUUGCUCACCAAUAUGGUCCAAGAUUUGGAUAAUUUGCUUAUGUUUCAAAGAUUAAAUUCAAGAGGAUUCCUUCAAAGCAAUAGUCUUUUGGUAAAAAGGUCAGUGUGCUCUUUUUUAUUGAAGCUCUUCAGGUGGGAGAAGACUUCUAUAAGAUAAGACGGAUCUUGAUAAGUUUCCCUUGUAUAAAUAAAAGAUACAAGAAUUAAAAAAUAUUGGGCAACAAUCCUGAAUUACUUUGAUACUGAUUUGAUUCUGGUAAAAUAAUCUGUCUUCUUUCUUUAUAGCAUUAACAUAUAUAGACUGUUAUUGAAUCUAUGAAGGGUUGAAUCAAAUGCAUUUGACUUCUUCAAAUUUCUAGUAUAAUGAAAAUAUUGAAGAAUAGAAGUCAAUGAAGAUGAAUCAGGGGAUGAUAACUUUGUACAAAAUGAUCCUUCCUCUGUGAAUUGCUUCUCUCCCUUUUGCUAUUCUGCAAAAUCAAGAGUACCCUUGUGUUCUGUUUGAUUGAAGAAAUGUCUUGAGAAUCAAUUUUGCUAUUUCUAGAUUCACACCGAGUCUGAGCUAUACAUUGAUGGAUGAUCAGAUCCUAUAGCCCAACAAUGGUGAUUGGAUCAUCCUCUUUUUCGUCUUCUCCUUCCUGGAAUAGAUCUGUGAAUAUUCUUGUGAAUUCUUGCAGAACCACCUCUUCACAGAGGUGGUACCAACUAUCAAGGCUUCAUUCCAUCUUCUUUUUAGUCUUCUUUAUUGUCUAUGUGCUCUCUAUCACUUCCUCUGCAGCUCAAAUCUCCUACAGUGAUCAGUGCUCUUCCGUUGUCCCAGAAUUGCCCCCAACCAUACAGGAGUUCAUCACCUUACCAUUUUCUCGCAUACCAAAUGGCUACUGUAUUGGAGGUGAUAGAAUUAUAAACCAGGAUCCAUAUCACUACUCUGCAAACUUCUCUAAAGUAAUAACAUUUGAGACCCGAAAUAUAUAUAGAACUGAGGUAGAAAGUGUGUUCAAGGUUGAGGGGAUUUUGAACCUCCUAAGCAGGAACAUGUACUAUUCUGGGGGAGAUUCAGGAGAUGGACGAUCAUCCAAUUUCCAGGCCAUCCCUCCAAGCUCCUGGGUUGGUUCUGUGAGCUUUGGCCUAGAAGGGUUCUGGUCGAAAUCUUCUGGCAAGCUUUGCAUGGUGGGAUCAGGUUCUGCAUACUCCAGUGAAGGUAAGUUGCUUAAUCUUGCUGCUAUCCUUAAGCUCAGUAAUGUAAAAAAUUCUAGUACUGUUACCGAUUUGUUCAGUGGUACUCUGGAGAGCUUGGAUUUGACCGGUGAUUCCAAUUAUUUUGAACCAAUUUCCAUAUUGGUAUUUCCUCAAAUGAACUAUGAUUACACUUCGAUUUCCGAAGAGAGUGGUACUGGGUGUCCUGGAGAGACUAAUGUUCCGGAGGGUUCAUCACUUAGUGCAGGGUCAAUUUGGAAGAUCUAUUCAAUACUCUCAACGCCAAGCAAUUGGCUUGAGUUGGAGUAUGACCAUGACUGCAAUUCUUUACAGAAUUGCACUCCCUUUGGUGGGGCGAUUCAAUAUUUGCCCCGUAUCAUAGCCACAAAAGGAAUUAAGUGUUCAGGGGCUAAACAACAGUUGCAACUUCUGAUAAAAUUUCAGAACGUUGGAAAACUUGAGUAUUACCGACCUUUUAAUCCAAGCACCACAUUGGUUGGAGAGGGACGGUGGGAUGACAAGAGGAAUAGGCUAUGUGUCGUUGCUUGCCGAAUCUUGAACACUACGGAUUCUCUGGCUAAUGCUCGGGUUGGGGAUUGUUCAAUCAGGUUGAGUUUGAGAUUCCCUGCAACCUGGACAAUCAGAAACAGAAGUAGCAUGGUGGGACAGAUUUGGAGCAACAGAACGGUGAAUGAUUCAGAGUACUUCAGUAGGAUCAUGUUUCAAAGUCCCCAGAAUAUUAUAGAGGUUCCAGGCUUGAAAUAUGAAUAUACUGAGAUUGACAGAGCAGGAAAAUCAUGCCAAGAAAAGAUGCCUGUUGGAAACAAGGGGACAGCAUACCCAGAAGCGAAUUCUUUUGAUAUGCAAUUCGACAUGUCGGUUAAAAGCUCUACAGAGAUAAUUGCAUGGGGUUCCUCAGCCCCCCUCUUUGUGGGUGAAAUUUUUUAUGACCCUUUGGUUAGCUUUGAACCAUUCUCCCUAUCAAGCUCAAUGCAAGAAAAUUCUGCAGUUGAAUCACACAGCAGACGGAUUGGUCCAGAGAAUAUUAGCUACAAGAUGAGCUUCAAAUUGAAACCUGGGCCUGAAUCUGAUGGUAUCAUCAAUCCAUUUAGUUCUUCUUCUUCAGGUAUGUAUCUGCAAGUAGAGAUUUCUGCUGAGGGGAUUUAUGAGGCUAAAACAGGAUUUCUGUGUAUGGUAGGCUGCAGAAAGCUGAGGUCAGAGAUUCAGAUAUUGACAAACGACUCCAUGGAUUGUGAGAUUCUUCUGAGCCUCCUCUUCUCUCCAUUGAACUCCAGGAAUGGAAGUUACAUCAAGGGAAGUAUCGAAAGCACACGACAUGAAUCUGAUCCUCUUCACUUCCCAAGUCUGGCCUUGUCUGUGGGAUCCUCCCUAAAAAAUGCCACGUGACUCUCUCUCCCUUGCACACGCAGACGGUCCCCCUUGCGACGCGCGGCAUAGCUCAUUCUACCCGGGGCGGAAUUCUGUCCGGUCGACGUUCCACCUUCUCCGGAUAUCUCACAUCCGGUGCCUGACGCCGGAUGGGAGAGGAGGGCGAUUCAACUUCCCCUGUCAGACAUGUCCGGAUACUCUGAUAGCGCUUACUCGAAGAACAUCCGCAGCCGACAUUUCAAAUUCCCCGGACAACUUGGCUCGUCAGACACUCGCGAUUUGCCUGAUCCAUUUCUGCCCACAAUCAAAAAGCAAACUCCGAUAAUACUGACGACCAAGUCUCCUGAACUAUCACUCAUAUUUAAUGCAAGAUACACUCGACAAGAUAUUCCCAAAUCUUAUCAGAGUGCUUGACACAUUCCCGAUAUUUAAAGUCAUAAAUUGAAGUGACAGUCGCCACCUGGCACCAGAAAUGUCAUGAUUGCUUUGCCACCCUAUGAGCCGCAAUCAUGACGAUGGGACCCGCUAGCAUAGCGGGGCCAUACUUUCUGACUCAUAUAUAAACUCUAAGGAGACUCUCAGGAAGGUAAGCAUCCUUGACAAAAAUCACGGAGCAACACUCCCAAAGGAAAACUCUAUUUUCCAACAACUUCCAAAAGACUAACUUAAUCAUCGGAGGGUGUGUCCGGACAACCCAUCCGGACAUCUUUUUUGCAGGAGGAAGGAGGAAUCACUACUACGCGUUGAUCGAGAUUCCGUUGCUGGUGACUACUAUUGUAGCAGGGGAAUUUUGCCAUCAACAUUGUCUUCAGCUGCUUUCACUGUGGUGGAAGCCAGAAAGUCCAUUUGGAGGAUGACUAUGGAGAUCACCAUGGUUCUAAUGUCUAACACCCUUACCUUUUUCUUUGUGAGCCUGCAACUCUUUCAUGUGAAAAAGCAGCCCAAUCUUCUGCCUUCCAUCUCACUGAUCAUGCUUGGAAUUCUUGGUCUCGGGUAUUUGAUCCCUCUUGCACUAGACUUCAAUGCCAUACUCCUCGGAAGCCAUAGUCAUGAGAGGAUUGCGCUCGGAAGGGGCGGAUGGCUUAAAGUGAACAAUGUGUUUGUGAGGGUAGUGACUCUGGUAGUUUUCCUGCUCCAAUGCCGGCUUCUCCUGCUCGCAUGGUCAGCUAGAUUAGGCCAUGGAGACCAAAAGAGGUUGUGGGCUGCUGAGAGGAAUGGUCUGUAUGUGUCUUUGCCAUUAUAUGUAGCUGGGUUCUUAAUCAUUUGGUUGCUAAAUUACCAGCAACAUUCCCUUUGGUGGGGCUUGGGAUCUUAUGCUGGGUUGGUGGUUGAUGGCUUCCUUUUCCCUCAGAUUCUGUUCAAUGUGUUCAUGAACUCAGGAGAUCAACAAGUUCUUUCUCAGUCUUUUUAUAUGGGAACCACUUUAAUCAGGCUGCUCCCUCAUGCCUAUGACCUUUACAGGGCUCAGAACUAUGCUCAGGGCUUUGAUGGGUCAUACAUAUAUGCAAAUCCUGGCGGAGACUUUUACUCAACAGCUUGGGAUGUCAUCAUUCCUUGUGCGGGUCUGCUGUUUUCUGCUAUCAUUUUCUUGCAGCAGCGGUUUGGUGGUGGUUGUAUCAUUUCCAAGAGAUUCAGGGAGUCGGAAGCUGCAUAUAAGAUGAUACCAGUGGUUACUGGUGAGAUAGCCAUGUGACAUGAAUUUAGAUUGCUUUUGCGGUGCUUAUAUUUGAAAUGUUUUUAUCGACGGUAUUUUUUCUAAAAAUAUUUUUAAAAGAAUAAUCUAAAAUGCUUAUUUAGGAUUUACGAGAAGUGAUCUCUAAAUUUCAUCAAAUAACUAAUUUUUCAUAAAAAUAAUUUUUAUGUUAAAAAUGCUUUCUAAAAAUAAUAAAAUGAAUGAAAACCAAAUCAAAUCUCAUUCUCAUUAAAAUUUUGAUUGAUAUAUAUUGUGAUUCAUCGAUCUAUUCCCAUUCUCAAUCCCCAAGUACCAAGGGCACCCUGUUUCUCCAUCGGAAAAUGGAAGCAAUUGGAUUCCAACACUAUUGUACAUUUGUAUCGGUGCCAAAUUAAUCCAUUCCCAUUCUCAAUCCCCAAGUACCAAAGGCACCCCGUUUCUUCAUCAGAAAAUGGAAGCAAUUGGAUUCCAACACUGUUGUACAUUUGUAUCGGUGCAAUUGGAUUCCAACACUGUUGUACAUUUGUAUCGGUGCCAAAGCGACCUAAUUUUUGGUUUUGGUGUCAAAGUGACCCAGAGUGGCCUCCCCAGGAUUCGAACUCAAAACGAAGGUCCUUGUUGUUUCCCUCCUGGCAGGCUGGCACCAUCUGAGCAAGUAGACCACUUUGGGUUUGCUUAGAUGGUACCGGGAGGAAAACAACAAAGACCUUGGUCUUGAAUUCGAAUCCUAGGAAGACCACUCUAGGUUUGCUCAGAUGAUACCAGAAGGGAAACAAUAAGGACUUUAGUCUUGAAUUCGAAUCCUGGGGAGGCCACUUUGAAUCGCUUUGGCACUAGAGCAAAAAAUUGGGUCACUUUGGCAGAAUAUGAUGAAGAUGGUCAACUGCACACAAUGUGAAAAGCAUAUCGACAAGUUGCGAUGAAUAUCCAAAGAAUUGGAAAAAUGGGAAGGGGGUGUGGGGGAAGCACUUAGGAAACUAAUCCAAAGUUGACCAUAUUUCUUUGGUUGCCCACCCCAUUCGGUACAUUAAAAAAAUGUACAAUGUUGGAUUUAACUUAGUGGACAUGCAGAAUCUCACAGGAUAGGCCUAAGAUUACAACUGAAGCACAAAUGUCUGAAUUACACACAGAUACUUAUUUCUCUUCAUCAAUCAAGUGCUCCUUCCACUUGAGAUGAGGAUGACUUGUGGUGGCGAGUCUUGGAAGAACUUUGGGUGUUGUUUUGCCUAAUCACCCCAUUACUUUAAUAGUGCCUUGCACAAGUGUUUUUUUUAAAAGUAUUUUUAGGUAAUCACUUAGAAUACAUUUGAAAAUGAUUUUUUUUAAUAAAAUUAAUAUUUUUAACACUUAAAUAAUAAAAAAUUUCAAAUGUUAUAAAUAUUAAAAACAUUUUCUAAAAUCUCUAUAAAACAGGUUAUUAUUAGGUAAAAGUGAUUUUUCAAAUUUUUAGAAAUAUUUUCUAAAUUUUAUUAAAUAUCUUAUUUUUAUUAAACAAUAUUUUUUAAGGAUAAGAAUUUUUUUUUUAUUAAAAGAAUUUCAAUAUCUUUUGAUGAUAAGUUGAUUGUAUGAACAUCCCCCAAGUUUUUAUUGUAGCCUUUAAUCCCUGUUUGGAUUUAUUUUUUAGAAUAAAAGAAUUUUUUUUAAAGUUUAAUAAAAACUUUUAUCUAUUUUUAUUUAAUAAAACUUUUACAAUAUUGUCAUCAUCCUUUAAAAAUUAUAAUUUCGAAUUCAACUUUAACUUACGAUAAAACAAAAAAAAAAAACACUUGAGAUGAGACAAAUGUGCCAUUAAGAAAAGUACUCUUAGAGGUGGGCAUGACAUCUAUGAUCAGAUCAUAUUGUAUUAGUAGAACAGGACGUGGGAAUGUGAUUUGAUUCCCAUUACACAAUUUUUCUUCUUGCCACAUGGGCAUUGACAAUAGAAUAUGGACCUCCACUCUCUUGGAACCACCCUCAAAAUGAAAUUUAAUAAACCUCUAAUGGCUUACAUUUCAUGUAAAUGAAGCAAAAAUCGCAAGUAUUUUAUCUAAAGGAUAUAUGAUGAAAUUAAAAAAAAAAAAAAAGUCCAAGAUUAUCAACUAACCUUAAUCACUAGAAAAAAUCAAUCCUUAUCAAAGAUGAUAUUUUCCUGGAAAAUUUAUACUUGGGUUUCAUUGGAGAAGCUGUAACAAAUGUGUUGGAAGGCCAAAUUUUUUAGGUAUAGACUUGGAGAGAGUCAAAGCUAUAUAUUGACAGACUUAACAAGUCAGAGGUCGUCGUCAUCUUCAUCAUCUUCUUCUUCUUCCUUGAGGAGAUCCAUGACUAUGAUUCUGAAUUCUUGCACACCCACCUCUGCAAACAGGUGGUAUCUGUUAUCAGGGCUCCAAGCCUCCUUCUAUGUAGUCCUCUUCAUCAUCUGUGCAGCCUCUGUAUCUUGCUCCCCAUCUCAAAUCUCCUACCUUGAUCACUGUUCUUCCAUUGUCCCAGAAUUUCCCCCCACUGUUCGGGAGUUCUCCACCUUGCUGUUUCCCGGAACCCAAAAUGGAUACUGUCAUGGGGGAGAUGGAAUUUUAAGCCAGGAUUCCUCUGACUACUCGGCAAGCUUCUCUAAACUUCUGGCAUUGCAGACCCGGAAAAUAUACAGAACUGAGGCUGAAGGUGUUUUCAAGGUGGAAGGGAGUCUGAACCUCCAAAGCAAUAAUAGGUAUUACUAUGGGGAAGAUUUGAGAGAGAUGGAGAAUUCCUAUUCUGGGGUUCUGCCUACAAGCUUUUGGGGUGGUUCAGUGACCUUUCUUCUACAUGGGUUCUGGUCAGAAUCUUCUGGGAAGCUUUGCAUGGUGGGAACAGGCUCUGCCUACUCCAGAGAAGGUGAGUUGCUUGAUCUUGCUGCCGUGCUCAAGCUCAAUAACGUAAAAAAUCUGAGCACUGUUACUGACUUGGUUGGUGGGACUUUAGAGAGCUUGAAUUUGGCUAGUGAUUCCAAUUACUUUGAACCAAUUUCCAUGUUGGUGUUUCCUCAAAUGAAUUACAAGUACACUUUGGUUUCUGAGGUCGGUUUGGAGUCAAAUAUCAGUAUCUGUUCAAUGCUUUCAAGGCCAGAUAAUUGGUUUGAAUUGGAGUAUCCACUUGACUGCUAUUCUCUGCAGAAUUGCACUCCUUUUGGUGGGGAAAUUGGAUAUCUUCCCCAUUUCAUAAACAUAAAAGCAAGUCAGUGUUCAGAGGAUGAACGGAGGUUGAAAAUUAUGAUCAAGUUUCAUAACUUUAGCUAUGUUGACUAUAACCAACUGCCAAGUCCCAACAUGACAUUGAUUGGGGAGGGGUGGUGGGAUGCCAAGAACAAUCGGCUAUGUGUCGUUGCCUGUCGAAUCUUGAACACCAUGCAGUCUCUCGCUAAUGCUCACAUCGGUGAUUGUUCAAUUAGGUUGAGUUUGAGAUUCCCAGCAAUCUGGUUGAUCAGAAGCAGAAGUAACAUUGUGGGGCAAAUUUGGAGCAACAAAACUAUAGAUGAUUCAGGGUACUUUAAUAGGAUCAUGUUUCAAAGUCCUGAGAAUAUAAGGCUGGAGAUUCCAGGCUUGAAAUAUGAGUACACUGAAAUUGACAGGGCAGGAAAGCUAUGCCAGAAAAAAAAGUGUGCUGAAAAUAAAGGGGAAAGAUACCCGAAUCCAAACGACUUUUCUUUUGAUAUGCAGUUUGACAUGAUGGUUAAAAACUCCACAGGAGUGAUGGCAUGGGGCUCUGCAGCCCCUUUCUUUGUGGGUGAUAAUCUUUAUGACCCUUUUGAGUAUGGCAUUCCUUCCUCAAGCUCAGAGCCAGGAAGCUCUGUAGUUGAAGCAAAUGCCAGGCAUAUUAGCCCAGUGAAUAUCAGCUACAAGAUAAGCUUCACAUUGGAACCUGGUGCUGAAUUUGGUGGUAUCAUCAGCCCAUUUAGCGAAUCUUUGGGUAGGCAUAUGAAAGUAGAUAUUUCUGCUGAAGGGAUUUAUGAUGCCAAAACAGGA